UGGGGAAUAUUGCACAAUGGGCGCAAGCCUGAUGCAGCGACGCCGCGUGAGGGAUGGAGGCCUUCGGGUUGUAAACCUCUUUCGCCAGUGAAGCAGGCCAUCUUCUUUGUGGGGUGGUUGACGGUAGCUGGAUAAGAAGCGCCGGCUAACUACGUGCCAGCAGCCGCGGUAAUACGUAGGGCGCGAGCGUUGUCCGGAAUUAUUGGGCUUAAAGAGCUCGUAGGCGGCUGGUCGCGUCUGUCGUGAAAUCCCCUGGCUUAAAUGGGGGCUUGCGGUGGGUAAGGGCCGGCUUGAGUGCGGUAGGGGAGACUGGAAUUCCUGGUGUAGCGGUGGAAUGCGCAGAUAUCAGGAGGAACACCGGUGGCGAAGGCGGGUCUCUGGGCCGUUACUGACGCUGAGGAGCGAAAGCGUGGGGAGCGAACAGG
This 425-nucleotide ribosomal RNA is filed under the name bacterium. Its description in RNAcentral is "partial 16S ribosomal RNA". It matches the Rfam family "Bacterial small subunit ribosomal RNA", at positions 355 to 776 of the family's 1533-position model. The record is from RNAcentral.